This 497-nucleotide ribosomal RNA is filed under the name uncultured bacterium. RNAcentral's name for it is "partial 16S ribosomal RNA". It matches the Rfam family "Bacterial small subunit ribosomal RNA", at positions 28 to 507 of the family's 1533-position model. The record is from RNAcentral.
GAUGAACGCUGGCGGCGUGCCUAAUACAUGCAAGUCGAGCGAACAGAUGAGGAGCUUGCUCCUCUGACGUUAGCGGCGGACGGGUGAGUAACACGUGGAUAACCUACCUAUAAGACUGGGAUAACUUCGGGAAACCGGAGCUAAUACCGGAUAAUAUAUUGAACCGCAUGGUUCAAUAGUGAAAGACGGUUUUGCUGUCACUUAUAGAUGGAUCCGCGCCGCAUUAGCUAGUUGGUAAGGUAACGGCUUACCAAGGCAACGAUGCGUAGCCGACCUGAGGGGGUGAUCGGCCACACUGGAACUGAGACACGGUCCAGACUCCUACGGGAGGCAGCAGUAGGGAAUCUUCCGCAAUGGGCGAAAGCCUGACGGAGCAACGCCGCGUGAGUGAUGAAGGUCUUCGGAUCGUAAAACUCUGUUAUUAGGGAAGAACAAAUGUGUAAGUAACUAUGCACGUCUUGACGGUACCUAAUCAGAAAGCCACGGCUAACUACGUG